This 532-nucleotide long non-coding RNA is filed under the name Penaeus japonicus. RNAcentral's name for it is "uncharacterized LOC122242527". Lineage: Eukaryota; Metazoa; Arthropoda; Malacostraca; Decapoda; Penaeidae. The record is from RNAcentral.
GAAAAGAAGCAAAGAGAAGAAAGACGCAAGAGUGUGAGGAUGAUAGAGAGAAACAAAGAAAGAAACAAAGAAAAGAAAGAAAAAAAUGUAGGAAGAAAGGAAACAGAGAGAAACGGGGAUGACCUCUGAUUUAGGAAAGAAAUUCUCGGCUUAUUCAUCUUGACUUUGAACUACAAUGGUGAUGACUGUGACGACGAAGAUGACCCAUUUGAACAGCAACAACAGCAUAAUCGGACAACGAAAAAGAAAACGGACACAAGUUGCCAUCGAGGUUGCCAUCGGUGUUGCCACAUUCCAAGUUUCUCAUAAUAUUUUUUUCAUUGUUUUCUUCCAUUUCACGUUGUAAGGGAAGACUGAUAUAGAUGAUAGAUAGGAUAGAAACAAUAUAAAGAUAAUGUAAAAGAGAUGGAGGGAGGAUAGAUGACGUGAAUGGUAUAUCGAAAUUAAGAAAGGAGAGGAGGAGAAAUGGAGAGAGAGAGAGAGAGAGAGAGAGAGAGAGAGAGAGAGAGAGAGAGAGAGAGAGAGAGAGAGA